AACGAACGCUGGCGGCAGGCCUAACACAUGCAAGUCGAGCGGACCCUUCGGGGUUAGCGGCGGACGGGUGAGUAACGCGUGGGAAUAUGCCCUUCUCUACGGAAUAGUCCUGGGAAACUGGGGGUAAUACCGUAUACGCCCUUUGGGGGAAAGAUUUAUCGGGGAAGGAUUAGCCCGCGUUGGAUUAGGUAGUUGGUGGGGUAAUGGCCUACCAAGCCGACGAUCCAUAGCUGGUUUGAGAGGAUGAUCAGCCUCACUGGGACUGAGACACGGCCCAGACUCCUACGGGAGGCAGCAGUGGGGAAUCUUAGACAAUGGGGGCAACCCUGAUCUAGCCAUGCCGCGUGAGUGAUGAAGGCCUUAGGGUUGUAAAGCUCUUUCAGCUGGGAAGAUAAUGACGGUACCAGCAGAAGAAGCCCCGGCUAACUCCGUG
RNAcentral lists this ribosomal RNA (433 nucleotides) under uncultured bacterium. RNAcentral's name for it is "partial 16S ribosomal RNA". It matches the Rfam family "Bacterial small subunit ribosomal RNA", at positions 29 to 507 of the family's 1533-position model. The record is from RNAcentral.